GUGUGCACAGGCGUUCAAGGUUCAAUUGAUCCUCGAGCACAAAGCCUUCAUACAACACCGCGGUUGAGGCGCGUCAAAUCUGAUGACAUUUUUCCUGAACCAAGCAGGCUGAACACGCGCACCACCACGGGCUCCAGCGCGGUGUGAAGAGGAAAGAAGAAAAGACAGAAUUGGAAACAGCCGCGCCAGGCUUCCAACGACCGUGUGUGUGUAUGUAAGUAUGUGAGAACACAUGUGUGAAUCCUCUUGUGGGAACUGCAAAAAGAAGAGAAUAAAGAGUGUGAAGCAGCUAGACUGCCGCAACCAAAUCAAGAGAGUGAAUUCUCAUUUCAAUCCGAAAAACUGGGAGAGAGUGAUGACAUGCGAGAGAUAAUAAAACUAGAAACACGAGAGAGGGCCACACGAAGCGCUUUCGGGUUUUUUCGCCUUCGCGCACAUUUUGCUUUAUGCGCGCGACUAAGUGAGCCUUGAUGAGCGCGAUGGCUCCCAUACAAAGGCCUUCGGCUUUGCUAGCUGGGAACGGUCAAAAGCCGAAGAUUUUAUAUUGACCUUUCGUUUUUUCUAUCUGUCUCUCGCUCUAAUUUGAGUGAUUUUCCCUUCGUGAGUAUCCACGAGCUCCCUCGUGUGGUUGUUGUUGUUGGAAGUUGAAACCGAACCCCCUUCGUGCGCUGCCAAAAUCAGCGAAGAACGAAAUCGAGUGGCUCAAGC
Long non-coding RNA from Anopheles merus, 708 nucleotides. RefSeq lists it as uncharacterized. Lineage: Eukaryota; Metazoa; Arthropoda; Insecta; Diptera; Culicidae. The record is from RefSeq and is a predicted model, not a curated record. The transcript has 2 exons.